This 497-nucleotide ribosomal RNA is filed under the name uncultured bacterium. RNAcentral's name for it is "partial 16S ribosomal RNA". It matches the Rfam family "Bacterial small subunit ribosomal RNA", at positions 28 to 507 of the family's 1533-position model. The record is from RNAcentral.
GAUGAACGCUGGCGGCGUGCCUAAUACAUGCAAGUCGAGCGAACAGACGAGGAGCUUGCUCCUCUGACGUUAGCGGCGGACGGGUGAGUAACACGUGGAUAACCUACCUAUAAGACUGGGAUAACUUCGGGAAACCGGAGCUAAUACCGGAUAACAUGUUGAACCGCAUGGUUCAACAGUGAAAGACGGUCUUGCUGUCGCUUAUAGAUGGAUCCGCGCCGCAUUAGCUAGUUGGUAAGGUAACGGCUUACCAAGGCAACGAUGCGUAGCCGACCUGAGAGGGUGAUCGGCCACACUGGAACUGAGACACGGUCCAGACUCCUACGGGAGGCAGCAGUAGGGAAUCUUCCGCAAUGGGCGAAAGCCUGACGGAGCAACGCCGCGUGAGUGAAGAAGGUCUUCGGAUCGUAAAACUCUGUUAUUAGGGAAGAACAAAUGUGUAAGUAACUAUGCACGUCUUGACAGUACCUAAUCAGAAAGCCACGGCUAACUACGUG